UGGCUGUAGCUAUAUAAUCAGCAGAAGAUAAACUGGUCGGUUGUUUUUAUUUUCAGUAGACAAACCGCUUACCAAACUUCUGACAUUU
Small nucleolar RNA from Magnolia sinica, 88 nucleotides. RefSeq annotates it as small nucleolar RNA snoR109. Lineage: Eukaryota; Viridiplantae; Streptophyta; Magnoliopsida; Magnoliales; Magnoliaceae. The record is from RefSeq and is a predicted model, not a curated record. The transcript has a single exon.